GGGGACGUUGGCUGCGGUCGUUACCCCUCAGGCACGGAGGCCCUAGUGAGAGAAUCUGAGCCCAGGGACGUUUGUGGUAGAGACGGUUCCUGUGCCCUGAGAGGUGAACAUUGGUCUUCUGAGCUUUCUUCUCCUUUGACCCUCUGAAAGGUUGAACCGAGGCACGGCCGCGUCCUCCCUGCAGGCGGCGUGGAGGAUAAGACAAUACCAGCAGGAGAAGAAGGGAAUCCUCUUCAGGACCAGCUAUGAGCAGGAAGAAAUCCUCCCUGUGGAAAGGCGUCCUGUGUCAUGGAUGCCCACAAGCAAAGUCUCCCUCAGAUGUCACUUGAAGGCCAUCUCCAAGGAAGCUCUGUAAAGUCGUCGGUGGGUGAAUGUAUCCUGCUAGGCCAAGUCCACGGACAUCAGCUUGCAGUAAUGAGUGCUGUGAUCAGUGGUCCCAUAGGUGACCCUGCAAGCAAGACAGAUCCGGCUCUUCGUGGGACUGGAACCUUGUCUACACCAUCAGCACAACCUUCUGCCCUGGAGGUGAACUGGGCAGGAUGCAGUAGCACUCUGCUCUUUCUUGGACUUGGAAUCAUGGCUACCACCCCCACCAAUGCAGCCUUCUACCCUGGCAGUGAACUUGGUGGAAUGUGGGUGGAGAGGGUCCCAUGUGCUGUGGCUCUAGAAGGACUUGGUUGUGCUUCUUGGAACGCCAUCAGAGCAAGGGAACAAGAUAGGUGCAGCCAGGCAGGCACCAAGGACACAGAAGGGGGCUGUGAAUGGGUGCCACUAGGCAGAAACAGGGGCCUGGAAAGGGGCUGUGGAACAGUGAGGGCGUGCAGGGAUCAAGGGGAGGAAGGGGCCUUGGACCAGCAGGGGUGGGCAGGGACUGUAAAUGAAGAGAGGUCAGUGAUCUACAGAGGUGCAGGGCCACCAGAGGUGAGAAGGGGCCAGGAGUGGGGUUGGGGCACAGGCUGGGGCUAGACAGAAAUCGGUGGGACAUGUGGGAGGAUUCAGGGGCAACAUGAGCAGGAAAGACAUUUGUUUGCUGCAACAAACACAGAUGAACAAAUUAUCAAAAACAAGGGAAAUAGAGCUCCUAUUCAACUGAUAACUAGCUGUUUUUUGUCAAUGUAGUGCAGACUACUGUGGAGAGUGACCACAAGGACUUCUAAGUGUUAGAAACACCUGACACCAUAUAGUCAAAUUUGGUUCUAUAAACUUAGAAAACUUUCUAUAACAUACAGUUCAAAUAAACAGAACCCAAAAGAUAAUAGUGAAAAGGAAAAAUUCUGCCUGUUAUAGUACUUAAGUCUCUAAAAAUACAAAAGAAAAAAUUACCAACAAUCCCUUGGAAGCAUGUUAGAGACAUGAACCAAUAGUUCAAGGAAAAAAAGGACAAACAGCUCUUCAUCUCAUUCAAAAAGACAAAUUUUUCUUAGGUUGCUAAGAACGCAUGACCUAACCUCUCUGGGGACAUUGGACAGUACUUAGCAACACUGCAUAGGUGCUAACACUUUGACCCACAACCCAACAUGUUUAUUGGCUUCCAAGCAAGCCAUCUGAACCAAACCUGGGUUUCAGGGAA
Long non-coding RNA from Otolemur garnettii (small-eared galago), 1570 nucleotides. RefSeq lists it as uncharacterized. Lineage: Eukaryota; Metazoa; Chordata; Mammalia; Primates; Galagidae. The transcript is spliced from 3 exons. The record is from RefSeq and is a predicted model, not a curated record.